GAGUUUGAUCGUGGCUCAGGACGAACGCUGGCGGCGCGCCUAACACAUGCAAGUCGAACGAGCGGAGACCCUUCGGGGUUGAAGUUAGUGGCGGACGGGUGAGUAACACGUGAGGAACCUGCCUUACAGAGUGGGAUACCGUUUGGAAACGAACGUUAAUACCGCAUAAUGUAUUGAAAUCGCAUGGUUUUGAUACCAAAGAUUUAUCGCUGUAAGAUGGCCUCGCGUCUGAUUAGAUAGUUGGUGAGGUAACGGCCCACCAAGUCGACGAUCAGUAGCCGGACUGAGAGGUUGAACGGCCACAUUGGGACUGAGACACGGCCCAAACUCCUACGGGAGCAGCAGUGAGGAAUAUU
This 356-nucleotide ribosomal RNA is filed under the name uncultured bacterium. RNAcentral's name for it is "bacterial SSU rRNA". It matches the Rfam family "Bacterial small subunit ribosomal RNA", at positions 9 to 365 of the family's 1533-position model. The record is from RNAcentral.